This 1097-nucleotide long non-coding RNA is filed under the name Panax ginseng (ginseng). RNAcentral describes it as "long non-coding RNA (PGIN_LNC013545)". The record is from RNAcentral. Lineage: Eukaryota; Viridiplantae; Streptophyta; Magnoliopsida; Apiales; Araliaceae.
GAUGAUAAUGAUUCACCCCCAGGUGCAACUGAGAUUAUGAGGUAAAGUAUUUUCCUAUGUUCAAGUCAUUCUAAACUAUUAGAGGUACUAAAGUAUUUUCCCAUGUAUUCAGUUUUCUAACUUUUUGUCGUACAGUAACAGGGACGCUGAACCUGGUCUUGAAUAGCCUGAUGGAGUUUAUUAGAGGUAAGAAACAAGCUUUUAAGGAUUUCACUGCAGGAACCUGGUCUUGUAUUCAGUUGGUUUCAGUUAAAUUUGUCACUUCUCAGUUCAUUUUUGGUAGCAAAAACUAGCUGGGCAGUGUAUGUAUAUUAUAAACCUGUAAACCAUUCCCUUUGAGUUUAUGUAAACAAAAAUGAACUGAAAAAAUGAACUGUUAUAAUAGCUGGGCAGUGUUUUCUGUAAACUGUAAUGGUACUCUUUGUUUUUCCUAAUUUAUGUUCUACUUUUAAGGAUUUCCUUGUCAAGUGCACAUACAGCUUAUGAUAUCCUUCUUGUAAACUGCCCACUAAACUAUGGAGUGGAUUCACUUUAUUGCAGUUUAUUCAUUUGUGCAAGUCAUUCACAUUAUUGCAGUUUCAGUUUCUAUAAAUUUACUUUAUAAUGAAGUUAGAAUGCAGUUUCAGUUUCAGUCAUUCACAUUAUUGCAGUUUCAUUCACAUUAUAAUGGAGUUUCAGCUUCUUUGUAAUCUGUGAUCUAUUAUUUGUUCACAAUCUUUGUAAUCUGUCAUUCACAUUAUUUGUUCUUCUGUUAUUCAGGUCAUGGAACAUAAAGGUAUGGUGAAUUAAGCAAAUUUCUCUCCAAUGAAGCUGCUGCGGUAAUGAAGCUGCUGCCAGUCUUAUAGAAGCAGGCAUUACUAUAUGGGAAGCUGCUGUUUUGUGUUCCUUGGUUUUCCAUCUUAAUUUGCAUUUAUGUUUUCGUGAGAUUGCCCUGUUUAGUAUACUUCUAGAUCCUAGGAGCUAAAUAUAUAUAGAGAGAGAGUAAGUGGCAAAAUUCCAAUUGAGUAAGUGGCAAAAUUCUGCACAAUCUUGUAUUUGGCUUAUGUAUUGAGUAAGCGGCAAAAUUCCAGGCAAAUAAGAAGACAAAAGAUUGCAAU